AAUUGAAUAAAAAAACAUUUACUAAACGGAAAUCGGUGAAAGUCCGAUGCGGUCCCGCCACUGUGAUUAGCUUUUUAAGCUAUUAGUCAGAUCUUUUUAGUAAAAUGUCUGAACCGCAUUCUGUCUCGUGGUAUGGAUAGGGUGUUUU
Molecule: small RNA, 148 nt
Filed under: Lentilactobacillus diolivorans
Lineage: Bacteria; Bacillati; Bacillota; Bacilli; Lactobacillales; Lactobacillaceae
Source: RNAcentral